UACGGGGGGUGCGAGCGUUGUCCGGAAUCACUGGGCGUAAAGGGCGCGUAGGUGGCGUGGUAAGGGGGUGGUGAAAGCCCGGGGCUCAACCCCGGGUCUGCCAUGCCGACUGUCAGGCUAGAGUACUGUAGGGGCAGGCGGAAUUCCGGGUGUAGCGGUGGAAUGCGUAGAGAUCCGGAGGAAGACCAGUGGCGAAGGCGGCCUGCUGGGCAGUUACUGACACUGAGGCGCGACAGCGUGGGGAGCAAACAGG
Molecule: ribosomal RNA, 253 nt
Filed under: uncultured bacterium
Lineage: Bacteria
Description: partial 16S ribosomal RNA
Rfam family: Bacterial small subunit ribosomal RNA
Source: RNAcentral